GCCAGUGUGGUGUAGUGGUUUGUGCAUUAAACUGAAACUCUAGAGACCAGGGUUCAAAUCCCCACUUGGCCA
Molecule: non-coding RNA, 72 nt
Organism: Phrynosoma platyrhinos (Desert horned lizard)
Lineage: Eukaryota; Metazoa; Chordata; Lepidosauria; Squamata; Phrynosomatidae
Source: the annotation of a GenBank genome assembly